GAGGGACAAGAAGCUAUGGAGAACCUUCUUUGUGUCUCCAGCCAACAACAUCUGCUUCUAUGGGGAGUGUUCCUACUAUUGUUCCACUGAGCAUGCCCUGUGUGGGAAGCCUGACCAGAUAGAAGGAUCCCUGGCGGCAUUCCUUCCUGACCUUUCACUGGCCAAGAGGAAGACAUGGCGGAACCCCUGGCGUCGUUCCUACCACAAGCGAAAGAAGGCAGAGUGGGAAGUGGACCCCGAUUACUGUGAGGAGGUGAAGCAGACUCCACCCUACGACAGUGGUCACCGCAUCCUGGACAUCAUGGACAUGACUGUCUUUGACUUCCUCAUGGGUUUGGGAAGUACUCACACGAUGAGCUUUCCAUUCUAGCACCUCUUCACCAGUGCUGCAGGAUCAGGAGGUCCACCUACCUGCGGCUGCAGCUGCUGGCCAAAGAGGAGUACAAACUGAGCCUGCUGAUGGCCGAGUCCCUGCAGCAUGACAAGGUGGCACCCGUGCUCUACCAGCUGCACCUGGAGGCCCUGGACCGGCGGCUGCGCAUAGUGCUGCAGGCUGUGCGAGACUGUGUGGAGAAGGAUGGUGUGAGCAGUGUGGUGGAGGACGACCUAGCCACUGAGCACAGAGCCUCCACAGAGAGGUAGUGACCACGCUGCCCCGAGGAAGGAGGAGCACAGAGCCUAUCCACCUGUGAAU
This 694-nucleotide long non-coding RNA is filed under the name Rattus norvegicus (Norway rat). RNAcentral describes it as "long non-coding RNA NONRATT007807". The record is from RNAcentral. Lineage: Eukaryota; Metazoa; Chordata; Mammalia; Rodentia; Muridae.